This 74-nucleotide transfer RNA is filed under the name Bulleidia extructa. RNAcentral describes it as "tRNA-Glu". It matches the Rfam family "tRNA". From Rfam's summary of the family: Transfer RNA (tRNA) molecules are approximately 80 nucleotides in length. Their secondary structure includes four short double-helical elements and three loops (D, anti-codon, and T loops). Lineage: Bacteria; Bacillati; Bacillota; Erysipelotrichia; Erysipelotrichales; Erysipelotrichaceae. RNAcentral also lists the same sequence under 3 other names. The record is from RNAcentral.
GGUGAGUUGGUGAAAUGGUUUAACACACCGCCCUCUCAAGGCGGGAUGUGCGGGUUCGAAUCCCGUACUCACUA